GCCAAACAGCUAGCCGAACACUUGGAUUAAUUUAUUAGUAUAAAUAACCCCUCAUAACCUAGAAGCUUGUGAACAAAUCAUUUUUCCACCUUAGUACGGGCGACGGAAAAG
This 111-nucleotide ribosomal RNA is filed under the name Salangichthys microdon (Japanese icefish). RNAcentral's name for it is "partial 16S ribosomal RNA". Lineage: Eukaryota; Metazoa; Chordata; Actinopteri; Osmeriformes; Salangidae. The record is from RNAcentral.